Molecule: ribosomal RNA, 1438 nt
Filed under: uncultured bacterium
Lineage: Bacteria
Description: bacterial SSU rRNA
Rfam family: Bacterial small subunit ribosomal RNA
Source: RNAcentral
AACACAUGCAAGUCGAACGAAGUUAGAUAUGUGUCUUAUUUAAGAGAAAUGUAACUUAGUGGCGAACGGGUGCGUAAUACGUGGGAAUCUGCCAAACAGUUAGGGACAAAACCUUAAUAAAACUUAUCAGUUCACUGAAAAGAAAAGCAAAAAAAAAUAAGCGCUGUUUGAAGAGCCCACGCAGUAUUAGGUUGUUGGUGAAGUAAAAGCUCACCAAGCCAACGAUGCUUAGCUGGUCUUUUCGGAUGAUCAGCCACACUGGGACUGAGACACGGCCCAGACUCCUACGGGAGGCAGCAGUGGGGAAUUUUGGACAAUGGGCGAAAGCCUGAUCCAGCAAUAUCGCGUGAGUGAAGAAAGGCAGAUUAGCUUGUAAAACUCUGUCGUCGAGUGAGUGAUUAUGACAAGACUCGAAAAGGAAGCCCCGGCCAACUCUGUGCCAGCAGCCGCGGUAAGACAGGGGGGGCUAGUGUUAUUCAGAAUGACUAGGCGUAAAGGGCAUGUAGGCGGUUUCUCAGGCUGAGAGUUAAACCCACUAGCUUAACUAGUGAACUGCUCUCAAUACCAAGAAACUAGAGUAAGAUAGAGGAAAGUGGAAUUUCGUGUGUAGAGAUAAAAUUCACAGAUAUACGAAGGAACGCCAAAAGCGAAGGCAGCUUUCUGGGUCUUUACUGACGCUGAGGUGCGAAAGCACGGGGAGCAAAUAAGAUUAGAUACCUUAGUAGUCCGUGCCGUAAACGAUGAGUAUUCGUCCUUGGUUUUAUGAAGACUUGUAACAGUCGUUUGUAAAUCAGGGGCCCAGCUAACGCGUUAAAUACUCCGCCUGGGGAGUACGGUCGCAAGACUGAAACUCAAAGGAAUAGACGGGGGCCUGCACAAGCGGUGGAGCAUGUGGUUUAAUUCGAUACAACGCGCAAAACCUUACCAGCCCUUGACAUAUAAGUGUGUCUAUUCUUAAUAGGGUAGAACAAAAAGCUUAUACAGGUGCUGCAUGGCUGUCGUCAGCUCGUGUCGUGAGAUGUUGGGUUAAGUCCUAUAACGAGCGCAACCCUCGUUGUGUGUUGCUAAGAGUAGAUUUAAAUAGGUAUUCUGCACUCACACAAUACUGCCUGUGAUAUACAGGAGGAAGGUGGGGAUGACGUCAAGUCCGCAUGGCCCUUAUGGGCUGGGCUACACAUGUGCUACAAUGGUUACUACAAUAGGAAGCAAGGCUGCAAAGCGGAGCGAAUCCAUAAAAGUGACCUUAGUUCGGAUUGUUCUCUGCAACUCGAGAACAUGAAGUUGGAAUCGCUAGUAAUCGCGGAUCAGCACGCCGCGGUGAGUAUGUACCUGGGCCUUGUACUCACCGCCCGUCACACUAUGGGAAUAAACUUCGCCCGAAGCACUUGAUACGCUGUAGGCAUCGUUCUUGAUCUAUCUUGUCUUGACUGUUCUUAUU